RNAcentral lists this long non-coding RNA (2688 nucleotides) under Octopus vulgaris (common octopus). Lineage: Eukaryota; Metazoa; Mollusca; Cephalopoda; Octopoda; Octopodidae. The record is from RNAcentral.
CAACUAUCUCAUUCUUUUCAGGCGGCAACUCGGAGCUGUGAGGACAUGUAUUCGAUUAACUGCUGCUCGCUUUACCAGCUUUCUUCGACGGACAGUGCGGUAAGAGGCAGAAGAAAACCAAGAACAAACAUAUCGCCUCUUCUUUUUAUUAUCCAUUGCAGUUGUUAUACGAACAAGUGGCUGUCGGUUGAAUUUUACACACAUCCGCGAUCACUUGUUGUAUGAAGGCAAACGCGUGGAACUUUCGUCUGGUUUUAAAUUUUAAAAUGAAGAAAGAAACGAAUGGAAUUGCAUACAGGACACAGUCAAGAAAUUUGGGUACAUUACGUAUGUAUAUCUGUACAGAUCCACUCGUAAAGGUUCACAAUGUUUAAUUCUUACCACUCCUAAAUUUAUCUAUGUAUUAUAAACACUUAGCUAACAUCUCAAACUCAUUUCAACAAUAAACUAGGGGCGACUCUGAUGAAGAAAGAGCAAAGAAAAUGGCGAUAAUCUUCAUUAUUUCAUAUUGUAUUCUUUACUUUUUUCUCUCUCACACACACGCAUCUAUAUAUGCAUGUAUGCAUAUACAUAUAUACAAUCGUACACAUCUGAUUUAAACGUCCGAUGAGACCUGAUCAUUUAAUGUGGGUCUUGUUUUAUAAAACUAUCGACAUUUAUAAUAGCUUUACUGAAACUUAUUUCCAGAAAUUUAUCAUAAUUUGCAUAUUUUUAGAUAAGUCGAAAUUCCUCGUCGCCUUUUUUUUUUUUUAACAUUUGGUAUUUUCGGUCUAAAGAUUAAUAAUUUAUGUUUUCAGAUAGAAAAUUAGUUCGAUUUAUUCGUCCGUACUUAUAUUUAUUGUAUAACAUUGAGAGAGACGAAGAUUUGCAGUGAUCAAGCUACCAUCGUCAGAAAGGAGGAAGACAUCACAAAUAUGGCGCUAUGACCUUCAUUUGUCAUUGACUUCUUCCGUCGUAAGAUUUCUAAUUUUAAUCACUGCUUUAUUAUUCAUAAAUAGUAUAUACUUAAUUAUAUAGCAUUUUGCUAAUUAAUUUUUUUAGAGGCUUUUUAAAAAAGUUUUUAGCGUUUCUUUAAUUUUUGCAAUUUUUCGAUAGAGAAAAAAUGUAAUUUUUUGUACAAAAAAUAUAUUUUUUUUAUCGAUUUCAUAGAUAUAUAAUUAUAUAUAAAAAAAUUAAAUCAUGAAGCCAUACAUCUCGUAUAUAUCAUUACUAUAUUAUUUAAAGCGAAAAAGGUCCAAAAUUAGUUCUAAAUCUAUUAAUGAAUUCCUUAUCCUGCUGGUGGGAAAGGCAUGAACAUCACAGCAUCACAUUUUACAUGCGUUAUUAGUAAAUGUUGGGUUAUUGAUAGUUCUCAUGAAAUUAUAUAACAAUACAGUAUUUUCUCUAAUUGUAAAUAGACGUUUUAAUUUAAAAAUUGCGCAUGUGUGUGUGUAUUAUGUACAUAUAAGCAUAUAUUUCUGUAUAUCGGUGUAUAUAUGUGUACGUAUGUUUAUUUGGUUAAAUAGGUGUGUUUAUAUCUUGUUGGUAUUAACUCGUUAAUUAUUGUAUUAGUCUACUGUUAUAUAUGUAUGAAUGUGUUGGUAUUUAGGCAUAUAUAAGUAUCUAUUUGUAAUAUUUCAAUGAACGGUCGUAGUUUUGAAAUCGCGAUCGUGGAAUCGGGCGUUCGAUUCCUGAGCAAAGCGUUGUCCUUGAUCAAAACUCUUUAUUUCUUGUGGAUCCUAUCUUGGUCACUUCAGAAAGAGUAUCUGUCAGGUUAACUUACAGCUGGAAUGAAGGACUGGCGUCCUGUUCAUGGCGAAAUGGUGUUCUUAAUUCGCUUGGCGCAUCAGAAACUGCCCCAAUGAAUCCGGGUUCGAAACGAUUGUGUUAGUAUGGAAUUGAGUGUGCUCGUAAAUUCAAGUAUAUGUAUGUAUAUAUAUAUAUUUCGAUCCGUCGCUUCGUUCCAUUUCUUAUGCUCCCAGUACUGUUUUAUAUAUAUUACAUAUAUAUAUAUACAUACAUAUUGAUGUAUUUGUGGAUAUAAUGUGAUAUGUGUGCAUCUGGAUGUGUUCGCUUGUGAAUGCUAAUGUACCUGUAUAUAUGUGCGUGUCUAUGUAUAUGUGUAUAUACAUGUGUGUGCCUUUGUUGCGCUCCAAAAGUUUGUAAUUUAAAACUAUAAAUGUAGCAUUUUACACCAAUAUACAUCACUGAUAACAAAUAGUGAUAUUGAGGUAAAUGCUGACAGAAUAAGAUUAGAAAAUAGGAGUAAAACCAGUGUGUGUGUAUCUAUGUAUAUAUAUAUAUAUAUAUAUAUAUAUAUAUAUAUAUACAUACAUACAUACACACACACUGGUUUUACCCAUAUAUAUAUAUAUGUAUAUAUAUAUAUAUAUAUAUACAUUUAUAUAUAUCUGGUUAGAUAUGUGUUAAUUGAUCAUUUCCGAGCUUUCCAGAGAAUAUGAAAAAAUUGUUAAUAUUUAUAUUUGUGUGUGUGUAUACUUGUAAGCAUCUAGUCAUAAAAACGAUGCCAAAAUAAGUCUGGUGCAGCCUCCUGCCUGGCCAGCAUAUUUCAAAACCGUCCAACCCAUGCCAGCAUGGAAGGCGAACAGUAAACAAUGAUGAAAGCUAGUGUUUAUGUGAGUUGUGAGAUACCGAUGUAAUUAUAAUUUUAUAUAUGCGACUAUGUGUGUGUGUGUGUGUAUAUAUAUA